Molecule: ribosomal RNA, 215 nt
Filed under: uncultured bacterium
Lineage: Bacteria
Description: partial 16S ribosomal RNA
Rfam family: Bacterial small subunit ribosomal RNA
Source: RNAcentral
CAACCUGCCUUUUUAGAGGGGGAUAACAUUUGGAAACAAAUGCUAAUACCGCAUAAGAUUACAGUACCGCAUGAUACAGUGAUCAAAGGAGCAAUCCGCUGAAAGAUGGGCUCGCGUCCGAUUAGAUAGUUGGUGAGGUAACGGCUCACCAAGUCGACGAUCGGUAGCCGGACUGAGAGGUUGAACGGCCACAUUGGGACUGAGACACGGCCCAG